Molecule: non-coding RNA, 464 nt
Organism: Lupinus albus (white lupine)
Lineage: Eukaryota; Viridiplantae; Streptophyta; Magnoliopsida; Fabales; Fabaceae
Source: the annotation of a GenBank genome assembly
AUGAGGAAGAUAAGAGUUCUCUGGAAGCUCUGGUUAUUGGUAAAUGUCAAUGUUAUGUGUGGGUAUGUGUCUGGUAUUGUUACGAUGGAAUUGUGUGGUGGGGAGGUAGAUGAAUGAUCUCUAUUUCUCAAUGGUGUCCCCUUUUUCUGGUUUGAUGUGUGUCUAUAUAUAGCACCUAGCUGUUAGCCUUGAAGGUUAGUAAUCUGCCAUGACUUUUUGCUUUCCUGAUUAUUGUCUCUUUCUAAAACUGCUCAAUGAAUAUUGCCAUUUAUGAUUAGUAUGUAUAACUAAUGACUUUUGGUUAGUAUCUGAUGGCUGUCUCUUCAAGUAAGUCAUGGCUGGUUGCUUAGAAUUCCUUGUGUAACUGACCUGAUUUCCAUUCUUUAUUAAUUUCUGAUAUUUGUUAAUAUCACACUGAUCAUUGAUAUGCUAUUGUAACAGUUUUGCAGUUAUGUAUGAUGGAC